UGUUGUGUCCCUGAUGAACUAG
RNAcentral lists this microRNA (22 nucleotides) under Callorhinchus milii (elephant shark). Its description in RNAcentral is "eshark_mir-467_1". Lineage: Eukaryota; Metazoa; Chordata; Chondrichthyes; Chimaeriformes; Callorhinchidae. The record is from RNAcentral.